GUAGGUAAAGUUUGCCAUAGCAGCAGUGAUGUGAAAAGUGAGAGAUCAGUCUGUAAAUCAGUUCAAUCUCUGCUAACAACUGGGAAAAUUCCAGAGCCUCCUAGCCAGACAAAACAUAUUAUUUGUUCAGCUGGUUAUUCAAUUAAGCAGUCUGUUGUUGAAGAGGAUACGCAGAAUUGCUCAAGCUCAACAGGGGUGUAUGCUGCAAUGUCUUCUAGAGGAUUUUCAUCAACUUGUCCAAGUACUUGUAGUGAAGAGUUGGAUAGGCGCCCAGAACCAGCUAAGAACAACAAAAAGAGGGCAAGACCUGGUGAAAGCUGCAGGCCUAGACCAAGGGACAGACAACUGAUUCAAGAUCGUAUUAAAGAGCUGAGGGAGCUCGUACCCAAUGGGGCAAAGUGCAGUAUUGAUUCCCUGCUGGAGCGCGCGAUCAAACACAUGCUGUUUUUAGAAAGUAUCACGAAACAUGCUGACAAGCUCAAUAAGUGUGCUGAAUCGAAGAUGUAUCAGAAGGGAACAGAUGCCUCUAACUAUGAAAAGGGUUCAAGCUGGGCAGUGGAGGUGGGAGGCCACCUAAAAGUUUCUUCAAUAAUGGUAGAGAACCUAAACAAGAAUGGGCAGAUGCUUGUGGAGAUGCUAUGUGAGGAAUGCAGUCAUUUUCUUGAGAUAGCAGAAGCUAUCAGAAGCUUGGGUCUGACAAUUUUGAAAGGGAUUACAGAAGUGCAUGGUGAGAAGAUAUGGAUAUGUUUCAUGGUUGAGGGACAAAACAACAGAGUUAUGCAUAGAAUGGAUAUCUUAUGGUCACUGGUGCAGAUAUUGCAACCAAAAACUUCAAACUAGCAACAAAGGCCAGUCAGCUCUUGGAGAUUGUGGUGUUGUUCCACUGUAAAAUAGCUAGUAAUUUGUGAUCUUUGAAUGGCAUUUUUUUUAGUUGUGAUUCUUGUUUGUAUUCCCCUUUUCCUAAAAUAAAAGGAAAGGAGAAGAAAUGAAGGCCAGCAUUUAUGUGAAGGGCUUCUUUAUCUUGUACUUGGCAAUGCGUGUGAUAAGCAUCCAUUUUCCUCCCGGAUUUAAACCCAUCAUUUGUUUGAAAGUUAAAUUAUGAAAUAAUGUAGGAAGCCAUUGUUCAGUAUUACAUUAUCAGUAUCUUUCUUGGUUA
RNAcentral lists this unclassified non-coding RNA (1156 nucleotides) under Hevea brasiliensis (rubber tree). The record is from RNAcentral. Lineage: Eukaryota; Viridiplantae; Streptophyta; Magnoliopsida; Malpighiales; Euphorbiaceae.